RNAcentral lists this ribosomal RNA (328 nucleotides) under uncultured eukaryote. Its description in RNAcentral is "partial 18S ribosomal RNA". It matches the Rfam family "Eukaryotic small subunit ribosomal RNA", at positions 1470 to 1796 of the family's 1831-position model. The record is from RNAcentral.
CCCUUAGAUGUCCUGGGCCGCACGCGCGUUACACUGAUGCAUUCAACGAGCUUAUAACCUUGGCCGAGAGGCCUGGGUAAUCUUGUUAACGUGCAUCGUGAUAGGGAUAGAUUAUUGAAAUUAUUAAUCUUGAACGAGGAAUUCCUAGUAAACGCAGAUCAUCAAUCUGCAUUGAUUACGUCCCUGCCCUUUGUACACACCGCCCGUCGCACCUACCGAUUGGAUGGUCCGGUGAAGCCUCGGGAUUGUGGUUCUUGCCGCUUUAUUGUAGCGUGACCGCGAGAACUUGUCUAAACCUUAUCAUCUAGAGGAAGGUGAAGUCGUAACA